CCUCUCUCAGGGUCGCACCUGGGGAGUUUCUAGUACUCUACCAGUCUCGGCUAUGGGAGGAAGAGUCAAGUAGAGGCCUGUCCAUCCCUGUCCUAGCUUGGACAGUGGCUAGCGAGUGGAAGGCAAUCUGCUACAAGU
Molecule: small nucleolar RNA, 138 nt
Organism: Tachyglossus aculeatus (Australian echidna)
Lineage: Eukaryota; Metazoa; Chordata; Mammalia; Monotremata; Tachyglossidae
Source: RefSeq, a predicted model, not a curated record